This 253-nucleotide ribosomal RNA is filed under the name uncultured bacterium. RNAcentral describes it as "partial 16S ribosomal RNA". It matches the Rfam family "Bacterial small subunit ribosomal RNA", at positions 524 to 776 of the family's 1533-position model. The record is from RNAcentral.
UACGGAGGAUGCGAGCGUUAUCCGGAUUUAUUGGGUUUAAAGGGAGCGCAGACGGGGCGUUAAGUCAGCUGUGAAAGUUUGGGGCUCAACCUUAAAAUUGCAGUUGAUACUGUCGUUCUUGAGUGCGGUUGAGGUAGGCGGAAUUCGUGGUGUAGCGGUGAAAUGCUUAGAUAUCACGAAGAACUCCGAUUGCGAAGGCAGCCUACUAAGCCGUAACUGACGUUCAUGCUCGAAAGUGUGGGUAUCAAACAGG